This 404-nucleotide ribosomal RNA is filed under the name Theileria ovis. RNAcentral describes it as "bacterial SSU rRNA". It matches the Rfam family "Eukaryotic small subunit ribosomal RNA", at positions 491 to 926 of the family's 1831-position model. The record is from RNAcentral. Lineage: Eukaryota; Apicomplexa; Aconoidasida; Piroplasmida; Theileriidae.
AUGGUUCCUUGGGUAUUUGAGAAUGAAUGGGAAUUUAAACCUCCUUCCAGAGUAUCAAUUGGGAGGGCAAGUCUGGUGCCAGCAGCCGCGGUAAUUCCAGCUCCAAUAGCGUAUAUUAAAAUUGUUGCAGUUAAAAAGCUCGUAGUUGAAUUUCUGCUGCAUUGCUUUUGCUCCUUUACGAGUCUUUGCAUUGUGGCUUAUUUCGGACUUUGUUUUACAAUGUCCGGAUGUUUACUUUGAGAAAAUUAGAGUGCUCAAAGCAGGCUUUCGCCUUGAAUAGUUUAGCAUGGAAUAAUAAAGUAGGACUUUGGUUCUAUUUUGUUGGUUUUAGGUACCAAAGUAAUGGUUAAUAGGAACAGUUGGGGGCAUUCGUAUUUAACUGUCAAGGGAAAUUUCUUUAAACC